Myodes glareolus (Bank vole) is the source of this 536-nucleotide non-coding RNA. The record is from RefSeq and is a predicted model, not a curated record. Lineage: Eukaryota; Metazoa; Chordata; Mammalia; Rodentia; Cricetidae.
GCUGUGGCGAGGGAAGGGAACCAUUGUAAUACCUAGUUCAGGUAAUGAGGCCUCAGAUCCACACAUAGGCUUGACAGCGGGAGGAAGCCAUUUCUUUUUCCACAUAGUUCUCAUCCCAGCGGGGUAAGUGCUGUGAGGGCCACUCACUACCUUAAGUGAGGCAGAUCGUCCUAGGAACAACGUCAGAGCAACUUAAACCUAUCAAAGGCAGGCUUGCCUGGGAUCCUAGUUUCGUCUUGUGGGAGAAGUUAGCAGUCCUGAAUCUGCUCUAGGCUGGAAGUAAUGAGACCAUGGUGCCUCUAUGCAAAUGUAGGGAAGUGCUGGCAUAGGACAGAGGGCUGCUGGGUAGUUGCAGGGCUCAGUUUUACCUCACAUGCUGGGCAAGAGCUUCCUGUCUGUUCCAUCUGCAGUUCGAGCCUUUGCGUUUGGUCCAGUGGUUUAUGACGAGACCCUAUCCUUGUAGCAGACUCAGCUCCUCCUUACCUUCAUGAGCACCAGGUCUGGCAAAUGCCCAAGCACAAAGAAUCCAGUACUGA